This 171-nucleotide unclassified non-coding RNA is filed under the name uncultured Ascomycota. Its description in RNAcentral is "sequence contains ITS1". The record is from RNAcentral. Lineage: Eukaryota; Fungi; Ascomycota.
CCGAAGUACAGGCCCUCUCGUAGGGCUAAACUUCCACCCUUUGUUUACUAUUCUUUGUUGCUUUGGCGAGACGUCUUCGGACCACCGGCUCUCGGGCUGGUGCGCGCUCGCCAGAGGAAAAUCAAACCCAAACCAUUUUUAGUGUCGUCUGAUAAACAAGUUUAAUUAUUA